CCCUUAGAUGUUCUGGGCCGCACGCGCGCUACACUGAUGCAUUCAACGAGUCUAAAACCUGCUCUGAUAGGGGUGGGUAAUCUUUUGAAUGUGCAUCGUGAUUGGGAUAGAUGAUUGCAAUUUUUCAUCUUCAACGAGGAAUGCCUAGUAAACGCAAGUCAUCAGCUUGCAUUGAUUACGUCCCUGCCCUUUGUACACACCGCCCGUCGCUCCUACCGAUUGAAUGAUCCGAUGAAUAUCAUGGAUUGAGGAUGCAAGCAGGUUCGCCUGUCUUCAUCUUCGAGAAGUGAAGUAAAUCUUAUCAUUUAGAGGAAGGAGCAGUCGUAACA
RNAcentral lists this ribosomal RNA (329 nucleotides) under uncultured eukaryote. RNAcentral describes it as "partial 18S ribosomal RNA". It matches the Rfam family "Eukaryotic small subunit ribosomal RNA", at positions 1470 to 1796 of the family's 1831-position model. The record is from RNAcentral.